RNAcentral lists this long non-coding RNA (954 nucleotides) under Pan troglodytes (chimpanzee). Its description in RNAcentral is "long non-coding RNA NONPTRT013466". The record is from RNAcentral. Lineage: Eukaryota; Metazoa; Chordata; Mammalia; Primates; Hominidae.
GGCCGCCCGCGGCGCCGCCGCUGUCCCGGCGGGAGCCCUCGCCGGGCUCGGGAGUGCGGGGAGCGCGCAGGUAGAUGAAACUCAAGAGAAAAGGUGUGGAUAAAUGAAACUAGCCCAUGAUGAACCUGUUUUCUCCGUGACCACAAUAUUAACCAGGAUGAUGGCGGUGGCAGUGGGCCUGCAUCACAGGUUGCAGCAGAUGUUCUCAAUAUUUCUAUUAAAAUUUCCUUAUUUCCAUAUGCAAGAGGAGCCCCAGAGCUGCAUCCUUAUGGUAGCUACCAUGCCGUGAUGUAAGCUGCCAUUCACUGGGGAGCUUUGGCAAUAGAAUUGGCUAGAUCAGCAAGCCCAUGUCAACUAUGGAACAACAACUUGCAGCUCAUCUCUAUUGAUGAUACACUGCCUCUAGGACUGGGACAGAUAGCCACUGAGUACCUGCUUCAAAUCACCCUGCACGUUUUCUCUUUGGAAAGAUAAGCACUGGAGAACCAUCUCGUUACCUUCAGCAAAAAUGGAAACAAAUCAAGACAUUAAGAAUGCCACAGUGGACAGCAGUUAUGCAAGGUUCAGCAGAGGAAGUUUUCAAGAUGGUGUGCCUCACUAGCCAGAAAUCAGAAAAGAUCGAAGCUAGCCUUUUCAUCUCAGCUGCUCCUUAAAUCAGUGCAACCCCUCCAAAUUAAUGUGAAUUGAAACAUGCAUUGCUUUUCAACUUAAUUGAAUACUUACUAUAUGUGAACCACUGCACAAAAUAGGGGAAGAAGAUGUGGGAGACAAAGAUGUGGAGCCUGUCUUCAAUAAAUUUACAGUUAGUUUCAGGGUACAUUGUUUUUCUUCUGCUGUUAAUUAGGUGUAUCCCCAAGACAAUAAAUACAUGAAUGGAAAAGUAUAUUCUGUGUUUUAAGUCUCUUUAAUAAAAAACAAAACAAAAUCCAAAAAAACUCCUAACAUGGCAACUCA